UAAUGCAGCGGAUCCGCAUGGAUAUGUUGUAAAGGUUUACCGCCUUGGGAUAGGCUUGCGUCUGAUUAGCUAGUUGGUGUGGUAAUGGCACACCAAGGCUACGAUCAGUAACUGGUCUGAGAGGAUGAUCAGUCACACUGGAACUGAGACACGGUCCAGACUCCUACGGGAGGCAGCAGUGAGGAACAUUGGGCAAUGCACGAAAGUGUGACCCAGCAACGCCGCGUGGAGGAUGAAGGUAUUCUAUAUCGUAAACUCCUGUGAGAGCAGACGAAAGACAGAUUAUUAAUUUGGAUGACUGUAUGCUCAGAGGAAGCCCCGGCUAACUACGUG
This 333-nucleotide ribosomal RNA is filed under the name uncultured bacterium. Its description in RNAcentral is "bacterial SSU rRNA". It matches the Rfam family "Bacterial small subunit ribosomal RNA", at positions 173 to 507 of the family's 1533-position model. The record is from RNAcentral.